UCCCAACCCCUGUGACAUACCUAUCGUUGCUUCGGCGGGAUCGCCCCGGCGCCCCUCGGGCCCGGACUCGGCGCCCGCCGGAGGACCCAAACCCUUGUAUUAUUUUGAGUAUCUUCUGAGUAAACAAGCAAAUAAAUCAAAACUUUCAACAACGGAUCUCUUGGUUCUGGCAUCGAUGAAGAACGCAGCGAAAUGCGAUAAGUAAUGUGAAUUGCAGAAUUCCGUGAAUCAUCGAAUCUUUGAACGCACAUUGCGCCCAUCAGUAUUCUGAUGGGCAUGCCUGUUCGAGCGUCAUUUCAACCCUCAAGCCCCCGGGCUUGGUGUUGGGGAUCGGCCCGCCCACUCGCGGCGCGCCGGCCCUGAAAUCUAGUGGCGGUCUCGCUUGCAGCCUCCUCUGCGUAGUAGCAACACCUCGCACCGGAACGCAGCGUGGCCACGCCGUUAAACCCCCCACUUUCUGAAGGUUGACCUCGGAUCAGGUAGGAAUACCCGCUGAACUUAAGCAUAUCAAUAAGCGGAGGAA
RNAcentral lists this unclassified non-coding RNA (523 nucleotides) under uncultured eukaryote. RNAcentral's name for it is "partial contains fungal ITS1, 5.8S rRNA and ITS2". The stretch from base 141 to 294 matches the Rfam family "5.8S ribosomal RNA". The record is from RNAcentral.